AUUGAACGCUGGCGGCAGGCCUAACACAUGCAAGUCGAACGAGUGGCGGACGGGUGAGUAAUGUCUGGGAAACUGCCUGAUGGAGGGGGAUAACUACUGGAAAAGGUGGCUAAUACCGCAUACCAUCGGAUGUGCCCAGAUGGGAUUAGCUAUUAGGUGGGGUAACGGCUCACCAAGGCGACGAUCCAUAGCUGGUCUGAGAGGAUGACCAGCAACACUGAGACUUAGAAACGGUCCAAACGCCUACGGGAGGCAGCAGUGGGGAAUAUUGCACAAUGGGCGCAAGCCUGAUGCAGCCAUGCCGCGUGUAUGAAGAAGGCCUUCGGGUUGUAAAGUACUUUCAGCGGGGAGGCGUUACCCGCAGAAGAAGCACCGGCUAACUCCGUGCCAGAAGCCGCGGUAAUUC
This 406-nucleotide ribosomal RNA is filed under the name uncultured bacterium. Its description in RNAcentral is "partial 16S ribosomal RNA". It matches the Rfam family "Bacterial small subunit ribosomal RNA", at positions 30 to 526 of the family's 1533-position model. The record is from RNAcentral.